Molecule: ribosomal RNA, 1352 nt
Filed under: uncultured bacterium
Lineage: Bacteria
Description: bacterial SSU rRNA
Rfam family: Bacterial small subunit ribosomal RNA
Source: RNAcentral
GAUUCCUAGUGAUUAGAGUUUGAUCAUGGCUCAGGAUGAACGCUGGCGGCGUGCUUAACACAUGCAAGUCGAACGAACCUUCGGGUUAGUGGCGGACGGGUGAGUAACGCGUGGGAAUCUGCCCUCAGGAGGGGGAUAACGGCUGGAAACGGCCGCUAAUACCCCAUAUGCCGAGAGGUGAAAUGAAUUUCGCCUGAGGAUGAGCCCGCGUCUGAUUAGCUAGUUGGUGAGGUAAGAGCUCACCAAGGCAUCGAUCAGUAGCUGGUCUGAGAGGAUGAUCAGCCACACUGGGACUGAGACACGGCCCAGACUCCUACGGGAGGCAGCAGUGGGGAAUUUUCCGCAAUGGGCGAAAGCCUGACGGAGCAACGCCGCGUGAGGGAUGAAGGCCUCUGGGCUGUAAACCUCUUUUCUCAAGGAAGAAGAUCUGACGGUACUUGAGGAAUAAGCCACGGCUAAUUCCGUGCCAGCAGCCGCGGUAAUACGGGAGUGGCAAGCGUUAUCCGGAAUUAUUGGGCGUAAAGCGUCCGCAGGCGGCCCUUCAAGUCUGCUGUUAAAAAGUGGAGCUUAACUCCAUCAUGGCAGUGGAAACUGUUGGGCUUGAGUGUGGUAGGGGCAGAGGGAAUUCCCGGUGUAGCGGUGAAAUGCGUAGAUAUCGGGAAGAACACCAGUGGCGAAGGCGCUCUGCUGGGCCAUAACUGACGCUCAUGGACGAAAGCCAGGGGAGCGAAAGGGAUUAGAUACCCCUGUAGUCCUGGCCGUAAACGAUGAACACUAGGUGUCGGGGGAAUCGACCCCCUCGGUGUCGUAGCCAACGCGUUAAGUGUUCCGCCUGGGGAGUACGCACGCAAGUGUGAAACUCAAAGGAAUUGACGGGGGCCCGCACAAGCGGUGGAGUAUGUGGUUUAAUUCGAUGCAACGCGAAGAACCUUACCAGGGUUUGACAUCCUGCGAACCUCUUGGAAACGAGAGGGUGCCUUCGGGAACGCAGUGACAGGUGGUGCAUGGCUGUCGUCAGCUCGUGUCGUGAGAUGUUGGGUUAAGUCCCGCAACGAGCGCAACCCACGUCUUUAGUUGCCAGCAUUCAGUUGGGCACUCUAGAGAGACCGCCGGUGAUAAACCGGAGGAAGGUGUGGAUGACGUCAAGUCAUCAUGCCCCUUACAUCCUGGGCUACACACGUACUACAAUGCUACGGACAAAGAGCAGCAAGUUCGCGAGGACAAGCAAAUCUCAUAAACCGUGGCUCAGUUCAGAUCGUAGGCUGCAACUCGCCUACGUGAAGGAGGAUCGCUAGUAAUCGCAGGUCAGCAUACUGCGGUGAAUACGUUCCCGGGCCUUGUAGACACCGCCC